GUUGAUGAGUUAGAAUUAGUCAUUUCCCGAAAGAACAGUAUCACACUGUUCUAACUUGCGGCCCUCUGGUUACUAAGGAGAGAGAACAUCUUUUUGGUGGCUACUAGAACAUUCAAACUUAAACACGCGGCCUGCAUCGUAUUUUUCACGGGCAACUCUGGUCCAUGGAAUUUGCCCUCAGCACAUUCUCCAUCUGGGGCCACUGAACCUCGGGAUUUCUUAUGAUCUGCUAGAAUAAUCCAUGCCAGAAGUACCUUCAAGUGGAGUGACUGACACUCGUGUCAAAACGUGGCCUCUAAAGGAUGUUCUGAUAUCCUUGCUGCCAUCAGGCCCAGAUUGAGAGGAUUUUCUGGCCACUCUGUAUAUAGAGUUUAUUUUUUAUUCAUAAAUUACCUAAGUGUGUGUCUCUACUGAAAAUGCUAUAAAAUAAACUCUUACAAAGCUGAGAUAAAUACUCAACAUAACUGGACAAGUCA
Molecule: non-coding RNA, 476 nt
Organism: Leptonychotes weddellii (Weddell seal)
Lineage: Eukaryota; Metazoa; Chordata; Mammalia; Carnivora; Phocidae
Source: RefSeq, a predicted model, not a curated record